This 492-nucleotide ribosomal RNA is filed under the name uncultured bacterium. RNAcentral's name for it is "partial 16S ribosomal RNA". It matches the Rfam family "Bacterial small subunit ribosomal RNA", at positions 29 to 507 of the family's 1533-position model. The record is from RNAcentral.
AGUGAACGCUGGCGGUAGGCCUAACACAUGCAAGUCGAACGGCAGCACAGUAGGAGCUUGCUCUUACGGGUGGCGAGUGGCGGACGGGUGAGGAAUACAUCGGAAUCUACUUUUUCGUGGGGGAUAACGUAGGGAAACUUACGCUAAUACCGCAUACGACCUACGGGUGAAAGCAGGGGAUCUUCGGACCUUGCGCGAUUGAAUGAGCCGAUGUCGGAUUAGCUAGUUGGCGGGGUAAAGGCCCACCAAGGCGACGAUCCGUAGCUGGUCUGAGGGGAUGAUCAGCCACACUGGAACUGAGACACGGUCCAGACUCCUACGGGAGGCAGCAGUGGGGAAUAUUGGACAAUGGGCGCAAGCCUGAUCCAGCCAUACCGCGUGGGUGAAGAAGGCCUUCGGGUUGUAAAGCCCUUUUGUUGGGAAAGAAAAGCAGCAGGUUAAUACCCCGCUGUUCUGACGGUACCCAAAGAAUAAGCACCGGCUAACUUCGUG